RNAcentral lists this unclassified non-coding RNA (597 nucleotides) under Hevea brasiliensis (rubber tree). Lineage: Eukaryota; Viridiplantae; Streptophyta; Magnoliopsida; Malpighiales; Euphorbiaceae. The record is from RNAcentral.
GUUCUAUUAAAGAAAAUGGAAAUAAGGCAAUGGCAGAUAUCUAAACUACAACCAUACAAAUAAGCAUUCCCUAACACAUCCUCACAUGAGGACACCGCCAAAGGCCCAAAACAAAUGGAACAUAGCUAACAAUUAGAAGAAAGCUACAUGACCAUUCAAUCUACAGUGCUCCAACAUUGCCAGCGAAUCGGUCAUUUGUUAGAUGUUGCUGCAAGUUGGGCACAAAACUUGUUAACUAGCUUGUCAUGAAGAGGCAAGUUUUCAUUCAUUGCAGGAACACUUGAAAACUCUGGCACCCAUUAUGAUAAAAAUGGAAAUCCUACUUUCCCAUCACUUUAAAGCCAAGUAUUUCAGGUUGGCAAGCUUACCUAAUGCAAUAUCAAGAAAUCUAAUAAUCUCUUUCCUUUGAGCUCCUCUUCUGAAAAUUUCAGUUCUCAAUGGCCUGAACUUCAUCUUCUUUUCGCUCCUUUCCUUCCUUGGUUAAUAUUUCCUACAGUGUUGACACGACUGUAACAAGAACGCCCAUAUUAUGCAGCAGCCAACAAAAAUAGAGUAGGUUUAGGGGCUGGUGCGCAAGAUGUGCUUCACAUCUAUUGA